GCGAGAUCUACAACGUCUCGCAAGAAAGGAGAGGGCAAGGCUGGUGCCAGCCGCCGCGGUAAAACCAGCUCUUCAAGUGUUCAGGACUUUUAUUGAGCUUAAAGCACCCGUAGCGGGCCUCGCAAGUCCCCGGUUAAAUCCACGUGCUCAACCCGUGGCCGGCUGGGGAUACUACAAGGCUUGGGAGCCGGGAGAGGCAGCGGGUACCCAUGGGGUAGCGGUGAAAUGCGAUAAUCCCAUGGGGACCACCGGUGGCGAAAGCGCGCUGCUAGAACGCGUCCGACCGUCAUGGGUGAAAGCCUGGGUAGCGAACGGGAUUAGAUACCCCGGUAGUCCAGGCUGUAAACGAUGCCCGUUAAGUGUGGCACUAGCCAAGAGCUAGCGCCGUGCUGCAGCGAAAGCGUUAAACGGGCCGCUUGGGAAGUACGAUCGCAAGGUUGAAACUUAAAGGAAUUGACGGGGGAAUACCACAAGGGGUGAAGCCUGCGGUUUAAUUGGACUCAACACCGGGAAACUUACCAGGGGCGAUAGCUGAAUGAAGGACAGACUGACGAUCUUUCCUGACUGGCUAAGAGGUAGUGCAUGGCCAUCGCCAGUUCGUGCCGCGAGGUGUCUUGUUAAGUCAAGCAACGAACGAAACCCGUGCCGCUAAUUGCAACCGUUGGCGUUAUGACGCUCCGGGCACAUUAGCGGGAUUGCCGCUGCUAAAGCGGAUGAAAGAACGGGCCACGGUAGGUCAGUAUGCUCCGAAUCCACCUGGGCCACACGCGGGCUGCAAAGGCAGGUACAAUGGGCUGCUACGUCGAGAGACGACGCUAAUCUCGAAAGCCUGUCUCAGUUGGGAUUGUGGGCUGCAACUCGCCCU
This 865-nucleotide ribosomal RNA is filed under the name uncultured crenarchaeote. RNAcentral describes it as "bacterial SSU rRNA". It matches the Rfam family "Archaeal small subunit ribosomal RNA", at positions 412 to 1274 of the family's 1478-position model. Lineage: Archaea; Thermoproteati; Thermoproteota. The record is from RNAcentral.